AUGCAGGGUACCCAAUGCGGACACUUCAUGGCUCAAUUUGCAAAAUACUGGAAUGGCAUUGAACUCAUAAAAGAUGAUGGUGAUUUCAAUCAAAGCAAAGUAGAUGCCGAGUGGAAACCAGAGUUCCUUUUUACAGCCAUAUUUGGUGAAACAAACGAAGUAAAGUGGCAGCAACUACCUGGAAGAAUCAAAGAAUUCAAACCAGAAACUUCAAAGUUCUUUUCCAGCAAAAAAGAGGCCAAAAAUAAUGCAAGAAUCUGUUUCUCACUAACUGUCACCUCCAAAAUUAUUUUAUCUCCCCUGUCGCAGCAAAACUAUAUUUAG
RNAcentral lists this ribosomal RNA (324 nucleotides) under Triticum aestivum (bread wheat). RNAcentral describes it as "partial small subunit ribosomal RNA". Lineage: Eukaryota; Viridiplantae; Streptophyta; Magnoliopsida; Poales; Poaceae. The record is from RNAcentral.